CUCGGAAAUAAUAAAAGAACGGUUGACUUUUGUUUGACCAUCCAAACAGAAGAAGAGUCCAGGUCCAAAAGAGGGCAAGGCGAGCCAUGGUGAGUGGUGGUGGGAUGGAGGUGGAGGUGCGCGUCGUGGGCGGUGCCCGGAGCUGCUUCGUCGCGCUCCCGCUCCACCUCAUCGAGGCCCUCUCCCGCACUUCCGCCUCAGGCGACCUCCCGCCCGUCCUCGCGCUCGACCUCCGCGCGGCCGCCGGCGCACGGUGGUCCCUAGCCUGGUCCGGCGCCGCGUCCCGAUCCCGCGCCAUCGAGGUUGCACAGGAGUUGGCAGAGUGCAUUUCAUUGCCUGAUGGAACGAUAGCUCAACUCAGUGUAGCUCGCUCUCUGACCAUAGCUGACUCGGUCAGUAUAGAGCCCUUUAGUGAGGAUGAUUGGGAGAUACUAGAGAGCCGUGCUGAUUUGGCUGAAGAAACGAUUUUGCAGCAGGUCGGUAUUGUUUAUGAGGGCAUGAAAUUUCCGCUGUGGUUGGAUGGCCAUAAUAUUGUAAAGUUUGUUGUGGUUUCAUCUNNNNNNNNNNNNNNNNNNGUUCAACUUGUGCCGGGAACUGAAGUUGCCGUGGCACCCAAAAAACGUAAAGAGAAAUUUCAAGACGUGCAAAAGCAAGGUUCAUUGAAGGAACAGGUCGAAACAAAGGCACUCUUGCGUGUUCAAGCAGCAGAUAGAAAGUAUGCACAUAAAUUUAAAUCUAAGGGCAUCGAGCUGGGGGUGGUUCUGAGCUAUGCUGUGCUGAUACAUCCAGAUACAGCUGCAAGGACUUCAUUUGGUAAUCUGCAGUUGGUCACUAUUUCAUCUAAAUCAUUGUCUAAGGGGCUUACUGAACAAGGCAAAGAAGCUGCACAAAAGAAGGGUGUUUCAGUACCCAAAAGGACCCGAGAAGUAGUUGUCUAUGUCUUAUUCUCAGACUCUGUUGCUAAAGGACAUGUUAUGCUUCCCUACUCUAUUCGUCACUUUAUAAGUGCAGACACACAUUCAUGGGUUUAUGUGACGAAAUACACUGCUAAUGUCAAGAAGGAUGAGCCUAUAAUGAAAAUGUGUCCUUUACAUUUCAGUAUGCACGAAAAAUAUGUGCAUGAUAACAGCGAUUUAGGCGGUCAUGAAAAGGACACUUGGAGGAACACCAGUAUUCCUUCAGAAAAUAGCAAUUUCUUUCAGAAAGCUCCUAACAAUGAGCAUCUUCUGAGUGCAGAUGCUGAUAGUAUUUCUGAAUCCAUGUCAGAACAGAAGGCACUUAUUAAGCAUUGGCUUAUUGGGCAACUUAAAGAAAUGGCCUUUCAUGCUGAAAAUUCUGAGAUAAUUUCAGUAGUUUUACCAGCCAAAGUUUUGAUCCAUUUUGAAGUGGUAGAUGGGAAACUAAGAAAAGGAGAUGAUUUUCUCUACCUGUUAACAACUACUUUUGAAAACCCUGGUUACAACAAUUCACAAGGCAAUGUUGAGAUUACUUGGAAAGCCCCAACUGAUUAUUUAGAAAACUUGGAAUUGAAUUUCGGGAGGUUGGAGCUGGGUGAAGCUUUAUCAUUUGAUUCUGUAGUGGACGAUGGCUUCGACAAUGAUUUUAAGCUGACUCGAUCUUCGUUAGGUUGGAUGGAGAAUGCAAUGUCGGAUGUGACAAAAAGACUAUCCGUGCUCGUGUCUUCAACUGCUCUGAGGUUAUUUAACAGGCUAAAGCUUCCCUUUCCUGGACAUGUUCUUGUCCAUGGGCCUCGAGGUUCUGGGAAAACUGCUUUGACACGGGCUGCUGCAAAAUACUUUGAAGACCAUCAAGAGAUACUAGCACACAUAAUAUAUAUGGAUUGUUCCAAACUUGCAAUUGGCAAGGCUAAGGAGACAAGGCAAACAGUUGAAGAGAGCAUUUCUGAAGCUUUGCUUCAUUCACCUUCUAUCAUCAUAUUUGAUGAUCUAGACAAUGUAAUUUCAGUGUCUUCAGAUCCUCAAGUAUCCCAAUCGUCCAGUUCUUCUGAUUCGCUAGUAAGAUACUUGACUGACAUCCUGGACGAGUACAAGGAUAAAAGUCGUAAUGCAUGUGGAUAUGGACCUAUUGCACUGAUGGCUUCAGUUCAAUCACUUCAGAGUCUUCCUCAAGAGCUGACAUCAUCUGGGAGAUUUGAUUUCCACGUUGAACUCCGUGCUCUUGCCAUCCCUGAGCGUGAAGCACUAUUGAAACAUCAAGUUGAGGAGCAUAAGUUACAGUGUUCUGAGGAAAUUAUUUCAGAGAUAGCGUUGAAAUGUGAUGGCUAUGAUGCAUAUGACUUGGGAAUUCUGGUUGAUAGGGCUGUGCACGCUGCUGCCUCUCGCUUUGUCCUUCCUUCUGCCUGUUUGAACUCUGUAAACCCAACGCUGGUGAAGGAAGACUUCUUGAAAGCGCUGCAUGACUUCCUUCCUGUUGCCAUGCGUGAUCUUAGGAAAUAUGCUCCUGAUGGUAAUAAUGGUGGUUGGGAAGAUGUUGGAGGGCUUAAUGAAGCAGUAACUAUUAUUAAAGAGACUCUUGAAUUGCCAUCAAAAUACCCAAACGUCUUUACUAAGGCACCUGUACGGAUGCGGUCGAACAUCCUCCUCUAUGGACCACCUGGAUGCGGUAAAACACAUAUUGUGAGGGUUGCAGCUGCAGCUUGUUCUCUGCGGUUCAUUUCAGUCAAGGGUCCAGAGCUGUUGAAUAAGUACAUUGGUUCUUCUGAGCAAUCUGUUCGUGACUUUUUUGCAAAGGCUGCUGCGGCAGCACCAUGCUUACUAUUUUUUGAUGAAUUUGACUCCAUUGCACCCCAACGAGGAACACAUAGUGCAGGAGUUUCUGAUCGUGUUGUCAAUCAGUUCUUAACUGAACUAGAUGGUGUGGAAACCUUGACUGGAGUAUUUGUAUUUGCUGCUACAAGCAAACCACAAUUAAUUGAUGCGGCACUCUUGCGCCCUGGAAGAUUCGAUCGUCUUGUCUUUUGUGAUUUUCCUCGAUGGGAUGAGCGUGUAGAAAUUCUGAAAGUGCACUCUAGGACGGUUUCACUGGCAAGUGAUGCCAGUUUGGAAGACGUUGCUUCCUUGACUGAAGGAUUUACUGGUGCUGAUCUCGCGGCUAUUCUAACAGAUGCUGGGUUGGCAGCGGUUCAUGAAGUUCUGGACAGCAGGCAGGACGGUAUCCCGGAAAGAGAACCAUGUAUCAGCAAAGAACUUCUCAUGUCUGUUGCUAUGAAGGCUAGACCUUCUACACCAGCUGAUGAUAAGUCGGGGUACGAUAAGGAGUUUGGCGAAUUUGUGUCGUCCAGGAAGUCCCUUUCCACGAAGGCUAGAGAGUCGAAAGGCAAGAAGGUGACGCUGGCUUGACUACCUCCUUCAAGAUUGACAACUAACUACAUGGGACAAAUAAGGUCACCUGCAUGCUUUGAUCUGCAUUGCUCCUAAAAGAAAAUCCAUGCUAAUAUGAAAUCCCCGAACAUUUGGAUGGACAUUGGGUUUCCUCUGAAUGCAGAUGUUUGGUCUAGUUUCUCUGAUGUCCAGAUGGCGCGGAACAAAAGAACCCGGCUAAGGCUAGCUUAUUUUGUACUACCACAGAAGAGGAAGGGAUCUGCACAAAAUUCUGAAUCGAGAGUGAAGGUGUUGCCAUCUACCGUGGAUAUGCGACACUGUACCUACCAGUGUGUCCUAGUUUUUCUAAUCGAAUUAAGAGCGUCCCCGCGUAGGGAAGACACGUGCCAACGGGGAGGUCCUGGUUUUGGUGGUUUGACUCUUGGCUAUGUUUGUUUUGAGGAGGUACCGAUCCGCUUCCCUUGUGAAUAAAGACAAUAAGUGGGAUUUUGUGUUGCUACUGCUGAAUAAGCGCCACAGCAAGGGAUACUAUGGCCUGCAGAUUGAUUUCAGCAUAAGAUAGGUUUACACAAAUUCCAAACUAGUUGCAUAAUAUAUAGACAAUGCAAAAGAAAAACUGUUGUAUAAACAUCAAUUUUCUGAUAUGUUUCCCCACAACAAUUUUAUGUGAUAGAAAACUAGGAAGCAUUCUUUGUUCAAUGGGAAUUUGGCAUAACAUUGUUUCUCAAUGAAUUGCGUUUCGUUU
Molecule: ribosomal RNA, 4086 nt
Filed under: Triticum aestivum (bread wheat)
Lineage: Eukaryota; Viridiplantae; Streptophyta; Magnoliopsida; Poales; Poaceae
Description: partial small subunit ribosomal RNA
Source: RNAcentral